GUGCCAGCCGCCGCGGUAACACGGAGGGUGCAAGCGUUAAUCGGAAUCACUGGGCGUAAAGGGCACGCAGGCGGCCCGUCAAGUGGGAUGUGAAAGCCCCGGGCUCAACCUGGGAAUGGCAUUCCAAACUGGCGGGCUCGAGUCCGGGAGAGGGAGGCAGAAUUCCCCGUGUAGCGGUGAAAUGCGUAGAUAUGGGGAGGAAUACCGGUGGCGAAGGCGGCCUCCUGGCCCGGUACUGACGCUGAGGUGCGAAAGCGUGGGCAGCGAACGGGAUUAGAUACCCGGGUAGUCC
RNAcentral lists this ribosomal RNA (292 nucleotides) under uncultured bacterium. Its description in RNAcentral is "partial 16S ribosomal RNA". It matches the Rfam family "Bacterial small subunit ribosomal RNA", at positions 505 to 796 of the family's 1533-position model. The record is from RNAcentral.